This 27-nucleotide small RNA is filed under the name Arabidopsis thaliana (thale cress). RNAcentral's name for it is "ATSL233510". The record is from RNAcentral. Lineage: Eukaryota; Viridiplantae; Streptophyta; Magnoliopsida; Brassicales; Brassicaceae.
AUAAAAAGAUAAAAAAAAUCAAAAAAA